RNAcentral lists this ribosomal RNA (1285 nucleotides) under metagenome. Its description in RNAcentral is "bacterial SSU rRNA". It matches the Rfam family "Bacterial small subunit ribosomal RNA", at positions 243 to 1520 of the family's 1533-position model. The record is from RNAcentral.
AGCUUGUUGGUGAGGUAAAAGCUCACCAAGGCGACGAUCUGUAGCGGGUCUGAGAGGAUGAUCCGCCACACUGGAACUGAGACACGGUCCAGACUCCUACGGGAGGCAGCAGUGGGGAAUUUUGGACAAUGGGGGCAACCCUGAUCCAGCCAUGCCGCGUGAGUGAAGAAGACCUUCGGGUUGUAAAGCUCUUUCAGCCGGGAAGAAAACGCAUGGGUUAAUACCCUGUGUGGAUGACGGUACCGGAAUAAGAAGCACCGGCUAGCUACGUGCCAGCAGCCGCGGUAAUACGUAGGGUGCGAGCGUUAAUCGGAAUUACUGGGCGUAAAGCGUGCGCAGGCGGUUUUGUAAGACAGGCGUGAAAUCCCCGGGCUUAACCUGGGAACUGCGUUUGUGACUGCAAGGCUAGAGUACGGCAGAGGGGGGUGGAAUUCCACGUGUAGCAGUGAAAUGCGUAGAGAUGUGGAGGAACACCAAUGGCGAAGGCAGCCCCCUGGGUCGAUACUGACGCUCAUGCACGAAAGCGUGGGUAGCAAACAGGAUUAGAUACCCUGGUAGUCCACGCCCUAAACGAUGUCAACUAGGUGUUGGGAGGGUAAAACCUUUUAGUACCGGAGCUAACGCGUGAAGUUGACCGCCUGGGGAGUACGGCCGCAAGGUUAAAACUCAAAGGAAUUGACGGGGACCCGCACAAGCGGUGGAUGAUGUGGAUUAAUUCGAUGCAACGCGAAAAACCUUACCUACCCUUGACAUGCCAAGAACUUCCAGAGAUGGAUUGGUGCCCGAAAGGGAACUUGGACACAGGUGCUGCAUGGCUGUCGUCAGCUCGUGUCGUGAGAUGUUGGGUUAAGUCCCGCAACGAGCGCAACCCUUGUCGUUAAUUGCCAUCAUUUAGUUGGGCACUUUAACGAGACUGCCGGUGACAAACCGGAGGAAGGUGGGGAUGACGUCAAGUCCUCAUGGCCCUUAUGGGUAGGGCUUCACACGUCAUACAAUGGUCGGUACAAAGGGUCGCCAAGCCGCGAGGUGGAGCCAAUCCCAGAAAGCCGAUCGUAGUCCGGAUCGCAGUCUGCAACUCGACUGCGUGAAGUCGGAAUCGCUAGUAAUCGUGGAUCAGAAUGUCACGGUGAAUACGUUCCCGGGUCUUGUACACACCGCCCGUCACACCAUGGGAGCGGGUUCCGCCAGAAGUAGGUAGCCUAACCGCAAGGAGGGCGCUUACCACGGCGGGGUUCGUGACUGGGGUGAAGUCGAAACAAGGUAGCCGUAGGGGAACCUGCGGCUG